Molecule: non-coding RNA, 186 nt
Organism: Dermacentor andersoni
Lineage: Eukaryota; Metazoa; Arthropoda; Arachnida; Ixodida; Ixodidae
Source: RefSeq, a predicted model, not a curated record
GUCUCUUGUCGAAAUAAACUUUUUCUAAACACAUCUGUUCUUAUCAGCUUAAUAUCUGAUACGGCCCUAUUAUGGGUCUUACGAUAUUAAUCCUAUUUUUGUAAGGCGGCGCUAGGACGGGGCUUGCCCCUCCAGCGCCACGGGUUGUCCUGGUAUUGCACUGCAGCCGGGUACAGCCCACACUAU